RNAcentral lists this transfer RNA (71 nucleotides) under Alligator mississippiensis (American alligator). It matches the Rfam family "tRNA". From Rfam's summary of the family: Transfer RNA (tRNA) molecules are approximately 80 nucleotides in length. Their secondary structure includes four short double-helical elements and three loops (D, anti-codon, and T loops). The record is from Rfam by way of RNAcentral. Lineage: Eukaryota; Metazoa; Chordata; Crocodylia; Alligatoridae.
GCACUGAUAGCUCAGUGGUAGAGUUCUUGUCUGCCACAUAAGUGACCUGGGUUUCAUCCCUGGCUAAGGUC